RNAcentral lists this ribosomal RNA (497 nucleotides) under uncultured bacterium. RNAcentral's name for it is "partial 16S ribosomal RNA". It matches the Rfam family "Bacterial small subunit ribosomal RNA", at positions 28 to 507 of the family's 1533-position model. The record is from RNAcentral.
GAUGAACGCUGGCGGCGUGCCUAAUACAUGCAAGUCGAGCGAACGGACGAGAAGCUUGCUUCUCUGAUGUUAGCGGCGGACGGGUGAGUAACACGUGGAUAACCUACCUAUAAGACUGGGAUAACUUCGGGAAACCGGAGCUAAUACCGGAUAAUAUUUUGAACCGCAUGGUUCAAAAGUGAAAGACGGUCUUGCUGUCACUUAUAGAUGGAUCCGCGCUGCAUUAGCUAGUUGGUAAGGUAACGGCUUACCAAGGCAACGAUGCAUAGCCGACCUGAGAGGGUGAUCGGCCACACUGGAACUGGGACACGGUCCGGACUCCUACGGGAGGCAGCAGUAGGGAAUCUUCCGCAAUGGGCGAAAGCCUGACGGAGCAGCGCCGCGUGAGUGAUGAAGGUCUUCGGAUCGUAAAACUCUGUUAUUAGUGAAGAACAUAUGUGUAAGUAACUGUGCACAUCUUGACGGUACCUAAUCAGAAAGCCACGGCUAACUACGUG